This 232-nucleotide ribosomal RNA is filed under the name uncultured bacterium. Its description in RNAcentral is "partial 16S ribosomal RNA". It matches the Rfam family "Bacterial small subunit ribosomal RNA", at positions 99 to 334 of the family's 1533-position model. The record is from RNAcentral.
CGGACGGGUGAGUAAUGUCUGGGGAACUGCCUGAUGGAGGGGGAUAACUACUGGAAACGGUAGCUAAUACCGCAUAACGUCGCAAGACCAAAGAGGGGGACCUUCGGGCUUCUUGCCAUCGGAUGUGCCCAGAUGGGAUUAGCUAGUAGGUGGGGUAAAGGCUCACCUAGGCGACGAUCCCUAGCUGGUCUGAGAGGAUGACCAGCCACACUGGAACUGAGACACGGUCCAG